AAGAGGAGAUUAGGACCCAGACAACACACUGACCAGGAACAACCCUGUGAAGAUACAGCAGGAAAGCAGCCAUCUGAAAACCAGCGAGCGAGGCCUCAGAAUAAAACUGUGCCCGGAAUUGGUUCCUUCUUGGUCUUGCUGACUUCAAGAAUGAAGCCGCAGACCCUCGUGGUGAGUGUUACAGUUCUUAAAGAUGGUGUGUCCAGAGUUUGUUCCUUCAGAUGUUCAGAUGUGUCUGGAGUUUCUUCCUUGUGGUGGGUUCAUGGUCUCACUGACUUCAGGAGUGAAGCCACAGACCUUUGCAGUGAGUGUUACAGCUCUUAAAGGUGGUGUCUCUGGAAUUGUUUGUUCCUCCCAGUGGGUUUGUGGUCUCACUGACUUCAGGAAUGAAGCUGCAGACCCUCGCAAUGAGUGUUACAGCUCAUAAAGGUAGUGUGGACCCAGAUAGUGAGUAGCAGCAAUACCGUGAUGAGUGAAAGAAGAAAGUUUCCACAGCAUGGAAAGAGACAGGAGCAAGUUGCCGCUGCUUGCUCGCGUGGCCAGCUUUUAUUCCCUUAUUUGGCCCCACCCACGUCCUGCUGAUUGGGCCAUUUUACAGAGUGCUGAUUGGUCCAUUUUUUACAGAGUGCUGAUUGGUGCAUUUACAAACCUUAAGCUAGACACAGAGUGCUGACUGGUGCAUUUUUACAGAGUGCUGAUUGGUGCAUUUACAAACCUUUAGCUAGACACAGAGUGCUGAUUGGUGCAUUUUUACAGAGUGCUGAUUGGUGCUUUUAUAAACCUUUAGCUAGACAGAGAGCGCUGAUUGGUCCGUUUUUACAGAGUGCUGAUUGGUGUGUUUACAAACCUUUAGCUAGACACAGAGCACUGAUUGGUGUGUUUACAAUCCUUUAGCUAGACAGAAAAGUUCUCCAAGUCCCCACCCGACCCAGAAGCCCAGUUGGCUUCACCUCUCAAAAUCAAUUCUGCUGACACCUUAGUCUUGGACUUCUAGCCUCCAGAAAUGUAGGAAAAUACAUUUCUGUGGUUUGAGCCACCCAGUUGGUGGUAUUUUGUUAUGGCAGCCCUAGAAAACUUAAUACAGGUAUCUUAAGGUCCAGGGACUUAUAGGUGGCAGAUCAGGAUUUAAACUAAAGCAGUCUAACUUCCAAGUUCGAGUUACUUUUGAAGCAGAUAUGUCCAUCAGGAGGCUAGAUAAGAUAUCUGGUCACAAAAAAAUAUUCAAAUCUUCAUGAUCGUUAUGUAAGUCUUCUGAGAAAAUGUUUGCUAAUGCCAUGCAAGUGGGUAAGCUCUCUUAAAUGUGCAUGUAGAAAAGAAAAGCGAGAGCCCAAUAGGAGACUCUGGAGGAACAUUUUCUUUUAAGGAGAGGAGGAAAAUCCAUGAGUGAAAUACAGAAAAAAUAAUAAAGAGUGAGAUACAAAACUGAAAAGGAAAAACUAACAUUACAAAAGCCAAAGGAGUCACUGAUAUUUAAGAAGUACUUUCUCCACAGAAGACGGACAAAUUCUGUUUCUUUCUGACAAACUUAUGACUGGAAUUGUCUCAAAAGCAGCAUUAGGGGAGUUCCCAUAAGGGAGUGCCCCAAACCCUCUGGAAAUGGGGCCAGUUGGGAUUCCAAAGAAAGAAGCACUAAACAGCAGGGUGAUCUAGGGUGAUCUGUCCAAAGCAUGUAUUAGGAGAACUUACUUGUAUGGUGCUGCAGCAUAUCCUCAUGAAAGACAGAGAAAGAAAGCAAUAAUCCAGUAGGUAUGUCUACAGUGGGAGAAUCAGAGUAUGGAGUUUGUAUGACGGUUUAAUGGCUAAGGGCCAGGGGUUGAUUGUUUCAGUGCUUUGGGCAGCAACCUAGAUAUUUGUAUCAGUUCCUAGGAAUGUUCAAAGACUAGUUUUGCAUUCAAGCCUGCUGGGAAAAAUCUGCAGCUGGCCGGGUCACAGGGCAGUCAGGGCACUCUGUGUGUUCACUUAGGAUUCAGAAGGAAAGUGGGAAAACUGGGGGACCUUACAAAUGGCCAAGAGGUAUUUGAAAAGUUGCUCAACAUUACUAAGCAGUAGGAAAAUGCAAAUCAAAACCACAAUGAGACAACACCUUAUGUCUUUCAAGAUGACUAUUUUUUAAAAAAAGUAUUGACCAGAAGACCCAAGAUGGCCAACUAAAAGCACCUAGAGGAGCUUAUCCCACUGAGAGACCAGGCCAUCAAGAAGACUGGCAUACCCUGGCAGACCUUCAGAAGGGAUACACUGAGAGGGGACAGCGAGAGGAUGUACACCCUGGGCUGAAGGGCUGAGGGAGAGGAAGCUGGGGACCCUGCAUGGCAUGGCCAACCACCAAGACUCAUUCCUGACCUUGAGCAAUUACUAGGGAAUGGAUCAGUUAAAUAGAUGUGGAGUGGCCUACUCUUGCCAGGGACCUCCAGAAUCCUGGCUGCAGGAUACUCAAUUGCACACCUGGACAUUUGAGCUGGUAGGGAGAGCUGCUUGGAGAGUUGGCAGGAACAGGACUCUAGCCUGUCCAGAGCCCAGAGGUUUUGCCAUGGGAAUGGCUACAGUGGAGCAUGGCCAAGUAUGCCUAUACCCCCAUCUCACCAUGAUCCUCUAGGUGGCUUUGGUCUUUGUUGACUGUUGAACCUUGACAGCACAGGGCUGCCUUGCCUGUGGGAUGGAGUCAUUCUGACCUUAAUGCCCCACUCUCUACCAGCCUUUGCCAGGGCCCCUACCUGGCCAUAUCUGCUUGCAGUACAGCCUCGGAUGCUCAACUGAGGCAUUUCACAGCAGCCACUGCCACAACUACUUCACUGGCAGACCCCUACCUAACCAUCAGAGAGCUUCUGCUGAUGGUCCCCCACCAGCACAAAACCACCUGCAUCCUCCCCCUAAUACUUUGAUGGUGCUCAUUCAACUGCAGCCUACUACCAAUACUUUGCUGAUGUGCAAUCAUUCAGCUUCCUCUGACUGCUUUACCUCUGCAUGUGAACAGAUGGAUCUAACACUGACUGCCCCAUCCCUGCUGGAAUACGUAAACCCCACUGUGACACUGCCUGCGACUGCAGGUGCAUGCGCAUGUGUGGACCCCACAGUGCUGCCUCCCUGCUGCCUCUGCCACAUGUGCUGAAUACCACCACACUACCACCCUGCUGCCACCAGCACAUGUGCGUGAGCACAGACCCCAAUGCCACCACCCCAACGAAGUGCUUUUGCCAGAACCACAAAUCUAAGUGUUCCUGCUAGCCGACCAGGAACACCUCAAUUCUUCCAGCUCAGGAGGUGCUCAACAUUGAGGGGCCAUAGAACAAAUGCCAUAGGCCUGGUCCCUGACCCCCAGGGUUAGAGCACACAGUCCGGGAGUGGUGAGAUGAGCCUUGGCCUCCUGAAAUGACACAAAAAGGAAGCCAGUCAACUGAACCCAAAUUAUACCAUGAUAAAGCCCUCAAAGACAUCAAAGUUGAGAAAUAACAAGCAUAAGAACUCUGGCAACUAAAAAAGCAAGAGUGUAUUAGGCCGUUUUCACACUGCUAUGAAGAAAUGCCUGAGACUUGGUAGUUUAUAAAGGAAGAGGUUUUAAUUGACAUACAUUACCACAUGGCUGGGGAGGCCUCAGGAAACUUACAAUCAUGGUGGAAGCAGGCACUUUCUUCACAAGGCAAUGAGAGAGAGAGAGAGCUUGGGAAGGAGAAACUGUUCAACACUUGUAAGACCAUCAGAUCUCAUGAGAACUCACAUACUAUCAUGAGAAAAGCAUGGAGAAACUGCCCCCAUGAUCCAAUCACCUCCCACCGUGUCCCUCCUGUGAAAUGUGGGGAUUAUAGGGAUCACAAUUCUAGAUGACAGAGUGUCUUCUUACCUUCAAACAACUGCACUAGCUCACCAGCAAUGGUUCUUAACUAGACUGAAAUGGCUGGAACAACAGAUAUAGAAUUCGGAAUCUGGAUGGCAACAAAGAUUAUUGAGAUUUAGGAGAAAGUUGAACCGAAUCCAAGGAAUCUAAUGAAUCCAGUAAAGUGAUAGAAGAGUUGAAAAGACAAAAUAGCCAGUUUAAGAAGGAACAAAACUGAACUGCUAGAGCUGGAAAGCUCACUACAAAAAUUUCACAAUACAAUCAAAAAUAUUAACACAAGAAUAGACCAAGCUGAGAAAAUAAUCUCAAAGCUCAAAGACCAGUUAUUCAAAUCAAAUCAGACAAAAGUAUAAAAGAAAAAAAAGAAUAAAAAUAAUGAUGAAAGCUCCAAGAAAUAUGGGAUAAUGUAAAAAGACCAAACCUAGGACUCAUUGGUAUCCCUGAAGGAGAGGAAGACAGAGAGCAAAUUGGAAAACAUAUUUGAGAAUAUUGUCCACAAACAUUUUCCCAACCUUGCGAGAGAGGUCAACAUUCAAAUUCAAGAAAUUCAGAGAACCCCUGUGAGAUACUAUGUAAGACAACCAGUCCCAAGACACACAGUUAUCAGAGUCUUCAAAGUCAAUCCCAAAGAAAAAUAUCAAAAAACUAGAGAUAAGAGGCAGGCCAUGUACAAAGAGAACCCCAUAAAUCUAACAGAAAACCUUUCUGAAGAAUCUGUGCAAGCCAGAAGAGAAUGAGGGCCUAUAUGCAUCAUCCUUAAAUAAAAGAAAUUUCAACCAAAAAUGUCAUAGCCACUCUAAACAAGCUGCGUAAAUGAAGGAGAAAUAGAAUAUUUUCAGACAAACAAAUGCUAAGGGUAUUUGGUACCACCAGACCUGCCUUACAAAAGGUCCUUAGGGGCGAGCUAAACAGGAAAACAAAAGACUAUUCCUGGCCACCACAAAAAUCUAUCUACAUACAUACACCAUUGACACUAUAAGCAACUAUACGAUCAAGUCUACAUAACAACCAGCUGACAACACAGCGACAGUACAAAACCCACACAUAUCAAUAUUAACCUUAAAUAUAAAUGGGCUAGACACCCCACUUAACAGUCAUAGAGUGGCAAGACCCAACUAUAUGCUGUCUUCAAAAGACCCAUCUCACAUGCAAUGACACCCAUAAGUUCAAAGUAAAGAAAUAAGGAAAAAUCUGUCAAACAAACAGUAAGCAAUAAAGAGCAGGGGCUGGUAUUCUUAUUUCAGACAAAAACAGACUUUAAAUCAGCAAUAAUCAAAAGAGAAGAGCAUUACAUAAUGAUAAAGGGUUCAAUUCAACAAGGAAAUACUGCCAUUUUUGAUUUGUGACAACAUGGACAAACCUGGAAAUCAUUAUGCUAAGUGACAUAAGACAGACAGAAAAAAACAAACAUUAUAUGUUUCCAUGUAUACAUGAAUCUUAAAUAGUCCAACUC
This 5282-nucleotide long non-coding RNA is filed under the name Homo sapiens (human). RNAcentral describes it as "HSALNT0142248". Lineage: Eukaryota; Metazoa; Chordata; Mammalia; Primates; Hominidae. The record is from RNAcentral.